Molecule: long non-coding RNA, 1119 nt
Organism: Salvia splendens (bonfire salvia)
Lineage: Eukaryota; Viridiplantae; Streptophyta; Magnoliopsida; Lamiales; Lamiaceae
Exons: 2
Source: RefSeq, a predicted model, not a curated record
CUAGAAAUCAAGCAUUAGGUAAUACUAAAAUCAAUUAGAGGCCCAACUUAUGAAAUUAAAAUGGCCCAAUACCUAAAUAACACUAAAAGAAAACAAAAUCUAAAAGCCUAUAGUGAAAUGAAAAGAAAAGAAACGAAAACUGUUGUACCUCAAUAUUGCCAAACCACUAAGAAUAAAAGAAAAUAAAAGAACAAGAAAAGGCUAUCAUUUCAUGUACUCCAGCCGUAACCCAUAAAAAAAAAAGGCAAAACUAUACUUAAUAUACUCCUUAUCCCACAAUUGCAAAAGGAAAGGGAAAAAUUAAAAUAAUAUACUAUAGCCUCAAAUCCUAUUCCGUCUUCUUCCACAAACCCAGUAGUAACUCUCUCUCCUUACUUCUCAAAUUCUUUCUUUUCACUUUCUGUCCCCCUCUAGACAUCUCUCUCUCCCUGUCCUCUUCUGCAAUUCACCCAAACAGGGACGAUCCUAACUCGGCACCGCCGCACGCCUCUCCGUCGUCAGCCUCCGUCGCCGGCGGCGCUACUACUCAGAAUCGAAUGGGAUGCAGGAGAUUCACAAAAAGAAUGGAUAUACCUUUGGAAAGAGGAAAACAAAUUGAGAUUUGCAGGGGGGAUUUGGAUUCACAGGCUGCUCGAUUUUUUCCUCUCAACUGUGACAAGAAAAAAAAAUAUGGUGCUAUGGGUUUAAUAUCCAGAGAGUUGUAUACACUGAAUUGAAGUGGAAGAUUAUACCUUUGUUGGAAGGGAGAAAACUGCAUUGGAAAUUAUGAAACGGCUGAUAAAAGAUGCAGUUGUGGGGAGAUAAAUAUAAUGCAGAGAUUAGAUUUGUUUGUUGGAGAGAAUUUUGUGGGUGGAGAUAUUGAUGGGAAAAAAAAACGUGGGUUUAGAAGGAGGGAUUUAUGUUGCAGGAAUUCAAUAGGAAUUAUAAUAAAUGGUUAUAUUAAAAGUGGCCCAAUUGAAUAAGGAUAAAUGGGCUAAAAGAAAAUAAAUAGACAAAAGUGAUAGGCCCAAAUAUAUAUAAUUUUAGUACAUUGAUUAAAUUGUGGUGUUUUAUUAUUUUAGUACUUUGGUGUUAUUCCAAGUACAUUGUAAACGAACGCCCAAAUUUUCCCAUCGACAA